CAGUAGCCGCGGUAAUACGUAGGUGGCAAGCGUUGUCCGGAAUUAUUGGGCGUAAAGCGCGCGCAGGCGGCCUAUCCAGUCUGUCUUAAAAGUUCGGGGCUCAACCCCGUGAUGGGAUGGAAACUAGUAGGCUAGAGUAUCGGAGAGGAAAGCGGAAUUCCUAGUGUAGCGGUGAAAUGCGUAGAUAUUAGGAAGAACACCAGUGGCGAAGGCGGCUUUCUGGACGAAAACUGACGCUGAGGCGCGAAAGCUAGGGGAGCGAACGGGAUUAGAUACCCCCGUAGUCCCUGUCUCUUAUACA
This 301-nucleotide ribosomal RNA is filed under the name uncultured bacterium. Its description in RNAcentral is "partial 16S ribosomal RNA". It matches the Rfam family "Bacterial small subunit ribosomal RNA", at positions 509 to 808 of the family's 1533-position model. The record is from RNAcentral.